CUGACAGCUGGUUUGAACCAUCCUCUGUUCUCUCUUUGCCCUUCUUCUGGGCACUUUCUUAGGGAGAUUAUCUUGGAGUAUGCAGGUAUGCCCAAUGGGAUCACAAGAGUCCUCAAACAUGGAAGCGGAAAGCAGGAGAGAGUGGCAAUGGGAGCAGAGUCAGAAAGAUGCUGUGUUUCUGGCUUUGAUGAUGGAAGGGGACCAUGAGCUGAGGAUGCAGGCGGAAGUCACAAAAGCUGAACUGAGAGAUGCCAUCAGUCCUGAAGAGGCCUCCUGGUGGAGAUGUGGAGGACACAGCAUCCUGCAUGGAUCAACAGAGACUGAAGGACAGACAGACACGCCAUGGAGGCAGCACAUAUCAGUGGGACAGAUA
Long non-coding RNA from Rhinolophus ferrumequinum (greater horseshoe bat), 373 nucleotides. RefSeq lists it as uncharacterized. The record is from RefSeq and is a predicted model, not a curated record. Lineage: Eukaryota; Metazoa; Chordata; Mammalia; Chiroptera; Rhinolophidae. The transcript is spliced from 3 exons.